GGUCAAGCGAACAAGUGCAUGUGGUGGAUGCCUUGGCGAUCACAGGCGAUGAAGGACGCGGUAGCCUGCGAAAAGCUACGGGGAGCUGGCAAACGAGCUUUGAUCCGUAGAUGUCCGAAUGGGGAAACCCACUCCUUUUGGAGUAUCCAUGGCUGAAUACAUAGGCCAUGUGAAGCGAACGCGGUGAACUGAAACAUCUAAGUAACCGCAGGAAAAGAAAUCAACCGAGAUUCCCAAAGUAGUGGCGAGCGAAAUGGGAUGAGCCUUGCACUCUUUAUUUGUAUUGUUAGCCGAACGCUCUGGAAAGUGCGGCCAUAGCAGGUGAUAGCCCUGUAGGCGAAAACAGUAUGAAAGAACUAGGUGUGCGACAAGUAGGGCGGGACACGUGAAAUCCUGUCUGAAGAUGGGGGGACCAUCCUCCAAGGCUAAAUACUCGUGAUCGACCGAUAGUGAACCAGUACCGUGAGGGAAAGGCGAAAAGAACCCCGGGAGGGGAGUGAAAUAGAUCCUGAAACCGCAUGCAUACAAACAGUCGGAGCCUCGUAAGGGGUGACGGCGUACCUUUUGUAUAAUGGGUCAGCGACUUACGUUCAGUAGCAAGCUUAACCGUAUAGGGCAGGCGUAGCGAAAGCGAGUCCGAAUAGGGCGUUCAGUUGCUGGGCGUAGACCCGAAACCAGGUGAUCUAUCCAUGGCCAGGAUGAAGGUGCGGUAACACGUACUGGAGGUCCGAACCCACUAACGUUGAAAAGUUAGGGGAUGAGCUGUGGAUAGGGGUGAAAGGCUAAACAAACCUGGAAAUAGCUGGUUCUCUCCGAAAACUAUUUAGGUAGUGCCUCGUGUCUCACCUUCGGGGGUAGAGCACUGUCAUGGUUGGGGGGUCUAUUGCAGAUUACCCCGCCAUAGCAAACUCCGAAUACCGAAGAGUGCAAUCACGGGAGACAGACAUCGGGUGCUAACGUCCGGUGUCAAGAGGGAAACAACCCAGACCGCCAGCUAAGGUCCCCAAAUAUAGCUAAGUGGGAAACGAAGUGGGAAGGCUAAAACAGUCAGGAGGUUGGCUUAGAAGCAGCCACCCUUUAAAGAAAGCGUAAUAGCUCACUGAUCGAGUCGUCCUGCGCGGAAGAUGUAACGGGGCUAAGCUAUAUACCGAAGCUGCGGAUGCGAGCUUUGCUCGCAUGGUAGGAGAGCGUUCCGUAAGCCUGCGAAGGUGCCUUGUAAAGGGUGCUGGAGGUAUCGGAAGUGCGAAUGCUGACAUGAGUAGCGAUAAAGGGGGUGAAAGGCCCCCUCGCCGUAAGCCCAAGGUUUCCUACGCAACGUUCAUCGGCGUAGGGUGAGUCGGCCCCUAAGGCGAGGCAGAAAUGCGUAGCUGAUGGGAAGCAGGUCAAUAUUCCUGCACCAUUGUUAGAUGCGAUGGGGGGACGGAUCGCGGAAGGUUGUCCGGGUGUUGGAAGUCCCGGUCGCUGCAUUGGAGAAGGCGCUUAGGCAAAUCCGGGCGCGUAAUUCAAGGGUGUGGCGCGAGCUCCUUAGGGAGCGAAGCAAUUGGAAGUGGUUCCAAGAAAAGCCUCUAAGCUUCAGUCUAACGAUGACCGUACCGCAAACCGACACAGGUGGGCGAGAUGAGUAUUCUAAGGCGCUUGAGAGAACUCGGGAGAAGGAACUCGGCAAAUUGGUACCGUAACUUCGGGAUAAGGUACGCCCUUGUAGCUUGACUGGCCUGCGCCAGGAGGGUGAAGGGGUUGCAAUAAACUGGUGGCUGCGACUGUUUAAUAAAAACACAGCACUCUGCAAACACGAAAGUGGACGUAUAGGGUGUGACGCCUGCCCGGUGCCGGAAGAUUAAAUGAUGGGGUGCAAGCUCUUGAUUGAAGUCCCGGUAAACGGCGGCCGUAACUAUAACGGUCCUAAGGUAGCGAAAUUCCUUGUCGGGUAAGUUCCGACCUGCACGAAUGGCGUAACGAUGGCCACACUGUCUCCUCCCGAGACUCAGCGAAGUUGAAGUGUUUGUGAUGAUGCAAUCUACCCGCGGCUAGACGGAAAGACCCCAUGAACCUUUACUGUAGCUUUGCAUUGGACUUUGAACCGAUCUGUGUAGGAUAGGUGGGAGGCUAUGAAACCGGAACGCUAGUUUCGGUGGAGCCGUCCUUGAAAUACCACCCUGGUUUGUUUGAGGUUCUAACCUUGGCCCGUGAUCCGGGUCGGGGACAGUGCAUGGUAGGCAGUUUGACUGGGGCGGUCUCCUCCCAAAGCGUAACGGAGGAGUACGAAGGUACGCUAGGUACGGUCGGAAAUCGUGCUGAUAGUGCAAUGGCAUAAGCGUGCUUAACUGCGAGACCGACAAGUCGAGCAGGUGCGAAAGCAGGUCAUAGUGAUCCGGUGGUUCUGUAUGGAAGGGCCAUCGCUCAACGGAUAAAAGGUACUCUGGGGAUAACAGGCUGAUACCGCCCAAGAGUUCAUAUCGACGGCGGUGUUUGGCACCUCGAUGUCGGCUCAUCUCAUCCUGGGGCUGUAGCCGGUCCCAAGGGUAUGGCUGUUCGCCAUUUAAAGAGGUACGUGAGCUGGGUUUAAAACGUCGUGAGACAGUUUGGUCCCUAUCUGCCGUGGGCGUUGGAUAUUUGAAGGGGGCUGCUCCUAGUACGAGAGGACCGGAGUGGACGAACCUCUGGUGUACCGGUUGUCACGCCAGUGGCAUCGCCGGGUAGCUAUGUUCGGAAGAGAUAACCGCUGAAAGCAUCUAAGCGGGAAACUCGCCUUAAGAUGAGAUAUCCCUGGGGACUAGAUCCCCUUGAAGGGUCGUUCGAGACCAGGACGUUGAUAGGUCAGGUGUGUAAGCGCAGUAAUGCGUUCAGCUAACUGAUACUAAUUGCCCGUAAGGCUUGAUCCU
RNAcentral lists this ribosomal RNA (2882 nucleotides) under Burkholderia cenocepacia. RNAcentral describes it as "23S ribosomal RNA". It matches the Rfam family "Bacterial large subunit ribosomal RNA". Lineage: Bacteria; Pseudomonadati; Pseudomonadota; Betaproteobacteria; Burkholderiales; Burkholderiaceae. RNAcentral also lists the same sequence under 1 other name. The record is from RNAcentral.